RNAcentral lists this ribosomal RNA (418 nucleotides) under Antargidium atriceps. RNAcentral describes it as "eukaryotic LSU rRNA". The record is from RNAcentral. Lineage: Eukaryota; Metazoa; Arthropoda; Insecta; Hymenoptera; Argidae.
CCCGGAAGAUCGAUCGGGGAGAUUCAUCGUCAGCGGUCGCGGCUUGGCUCGCGGUUCGCGAUGCCCGGACCCCGUGUUCCCGGCACGCUUCCGCGCCACGCUCGCGGUCGCCGGCUUGCACUUUUCCCCUAGUAGGAUGUCGCGACCCGUUGGCCGUCGGUCUACGGCCCGGAUGGUCGCCUGUCCUCGGCGUUUACGCGUCGGGGGCAGACCUCCGGUUGCCCGGCCGGCUGCCCGGGGGUACCCGCACGGUUUCAAGCCGCAUUAAAUUGCGUCCGCCCCGCCGCAARCGCGGCAUCAAGAAUUCCCGGUGGUCGGACCUACCGCCGACCUCGGGCCUGGCCAGCUGUUCUCCGGCCGUUUUCUUGGACGGGCUCUUGUUCACCGGUCGGGGACGCUAAUGUUCCGGGUACUUUCA